RNAcentral lists this ribosomal RNA (253 nucleotides) under uncultured bacterium. RNAcentral's name for it is "partial 16S ribosomal RNA". It matches the Rfam family "Bacterial small subunit ribosomal RNA", at positions 524 to 776 of the family's 1533-position model. The record is from RNAcentral.
UACGAAGGGGACUAGCGUUGUUCGGAAUCACUGGGCGUAAAGCGCGCGUAGGCGGACCUGCAAGUCGGGGGUGAAAGCCCGAGGCUCAACCUCGGAACUGCCUUCGAUACUGCGGGUCUCGAGUCCGGGAGAGGUGAGUGGAAUUCCUAGUGUAGAGGUGAAAUUCGUAGAUAUUCGGAAGAACACCAGUGGCGAAGGCGGCUCACUGGACCGGCAUUGACGCUGAGGUGCGAAAGCGUGGGGAGCAAACAGG